UUGCUUAAGAUGCCGUUUUUU
Non-coding RNA from Caenorhabditis elegans, 21 nucleotides. The record is from Ensembl. Lineage: Eukaryota; Metazoa; Nematoda; Chromadorea; Rhabditida; Rhabditidae.